This 253-nucleotide ribosomal RNA is filed under the name uncultured bacterium. Its description in RNAcentral is "partial 16S ribosomal RNA". It matches the Rfam family "Bacterial small subunit ribosomal RNA", at positions 524 to 776 of the family's 1533-position model. The record is from RNAcentral.
UACGUAGGGGGCAAGCGUUGUCCGGAAUCAUUGGGCGUAAAGCGCGCGUAGGCGGCCCGGUAAGUCCGCUUUGAAAGUCCAGGGCUCAACCCUGGAAAGCGGGUGGAUACUGCCGGGCUAGAAUCCGGAAGAGGCGAGUGGAAUUCCUGGUGUAGCGGUGGAAUGCGCAGAUAUCAGGAGGAACACCAAUAGCGAAGGCAGCUCGCUGGGACGGUAUUGACGCUAAGGCGCGAAAGCGUGGGGAGCAAACAGG